CAGACGGGAUAUAGUCGCCUAAAGAUUCAUGAUGAUAUGAAUUUCUUUGGGAGGAAAGUCCGGGCUCCUCCGGAAAAAAUGCCGACUAAUGAUCGGGCGUUCCUGUAUUGGAGCGACAGAAAGUGCAACAGAAAAUAAACCGCCUGUUUUUCAGGUAAGGGUGAAAUGGCAGUGUAAGAGACUACCGUUCGGAUGGUAACAUUCGUAGCAGUGCAAACCUCAUUUGGAGCAAAAUUAAGCAGAGACAUGUGAGUUUCCGGCUCUGUAUGUUUCGGGUAAAUUGCUGUAGACUGUUUGGCAACAGGCAGUUUAGAUAGAUGGCUAUGUCGUUUUUGCGAUGACAGAACCCGGCUUAUUGUCCCGUCUGUUUU
This 371-nucleotide RNase P RNA is filed under the name Treponema sp. RNAcentral's name for it is "RNase P RNA component class A". It matches the Rfam family "Bacterial RNase P class A". From Rfam's summary of the family: Ribonuclease P (RNase P) is a ubiquitous endoribonuclease, found in archaea, bacteria and eukarya as well as chloroplasts and mitochondria. Its best characterised activity is the generation of mature 5'-ends of tRNAs by cleaving the 5'-leader elements of precursor-tRNAs. Cellular RNase Ps are ribonucleoproteins. Lineage: Bacteria; Pseudomonadati; Spirochaetota; Spirochaetia; Treponematales; Treponemataceae. The record is from RNAcentral. RNAcentral also lists the same sequence under 1 other name.